CCAAGAAUAUUUCCUUCAAUCUGAGGCAGACCACAGCGUCUCCAGAAAAAACAGAAGAAAAACUAACUGCAGGCAUUUAACCAACUUCACUAAGCCUGUAACCCGUUCAGUCAUCCAGCCACUGGGGGCGCUGUUACGAAAGGACUGUCUGUGCAUGACUGGAGUGGAGCUGAAGCUGUCUACCUUUACGUCCCAAAACUUGAUGAAAACAUGAUAUGGAGAUUCCAGCUUCAGCGGCAGAUUCCCAAAACAUGACAGAGGAGAGGAAGUCGGCCUACAGGAGGAUGAGAGUCUUGGUAAAUCAGUAGAAGCUGAAGCUGAACCUUCUGCUGUACAAACAUGACGCAUCUCCAGAAAAACAAGUUUUUCUCCCUGCUGGUGUGUUUCCAUCUCUUCACGUGAAGCACAUAAAGCUCCUGUUUUCCUGUAAAACACCAACCUGACACCAGAAACCUGGAGAAAAGUCAAAGCUGGAACUUUUCCGAAGCAGCUGCAGCGUUUUCUGCUGAAGAUCCACGCGGCGAGAAACAUGGCGGCUGACUGAGGAGAACGGAGGCGAACGGCAGCAGCAGCUGGGAGUUUUUCCUGCCUCAGGAUUAUCUGCAGGUGAUCAACCAGGACGGGAGGAUCUGCUGCUCUGAUCCGGGUUGAUCUGCCAGCCUGCAGACGCAGAAGGGACCAACAUCAAAACAAAGUUCAUCACCAUAAAUGAUAAUAUCGUUGUUCUGGGACCAUUUUUAACCAAUAUAAUGCAAAAACACAUUUAAACUCUAAUCAACAUUAAACUGGAACAUGAUAAAUAUUCAAAAUAAACAAAACAACAAAUAAAGUGAAUUAUGAAGUAAACUAAAUUAUCCUUCAAAAAU
Molecule: long non-coding RNA, 866 nt
Organism: Poecilia latipinna (sailfin molly)
Lineage: Eukaryota; Metazoa; Chordata; Actinopteri; Cyprinodontiformes; Poeciliidae
Exons: 4
Source: RefSeq, a predicted model, not a curated record